CUGCACGCUUGCCGCGUGCCUCAUCCCUGCAAUUCGAGCGCACAGAUGAGGAGCUUGCUCCUCUGACGUUAGCGGCGGACGGGUGAUUAACACUUGGAUAACCUACCUAUAAGCCUGGGUUAACUUCGGGAAACCGGAGCUAAUCCCGGAUAAUAUAUUUAACCGCUUGGUUCAAUAGUGAAAUACGAUUUUUCUGUCACUUAUAUCUGGAUCCGCGCCGCAUUAGCUAGGUGGUAAGGUAACGGCUUACCAAGGCAACGAUGCGUAGCCGACCUGAGAGGGUGAUCGGCCACCCUGGAACUGAGACACGGUCCAGAGUCCUACGGGAGGCAGCAGUAGGGAAUGUUACGCAAUGGGCGAAAGCAUGACGGAGCAACGCCGAGUGAGUGAUGAAGGUCUUCGGAUCGUAAAACUCUGUUAUUAGGGAAGAACAAAUGUGUAAGUAACUAUGCACGUCUUGACGGUACCUAAUCAGAAAGCCACGGCUAACUACGUG
RNAcentral lists this ribosomal RNA (496 nucleotides) under uncultured bacterium. RNAcentral describes it as "partial 16S ribosomal RNA". It matches the Rfam family "Bacterial small subunit ribosomal RNA", at positions 30 to 507 of the family's 1533-position model. The record is from RNAcentral.